AGAAGAGUCAGCUGUGAUCCGACCCACACGCCUCCUGGUCCUGGAGGAGAACAAGUCCUGGAGGGAUGGGAGCUUGCAGCCAAUCACCUUCUCAGCAGCACGUACGAUGCGCAGGGGUUGCAUACGUGACUACUACUCUGCAAAGGAGAAAAUUGCCACCAUAAAUCAUCGUCAAAAGUAAAUGAAACUGAAGUCUCUCAAUGGAAUUGAAAAAGAUCUCGGGUUCGGGGGAACCUGCCUGCCCUGACGGAACCAUUGUUGCUGGACACACGAGAAACUCUUGGGAGAAGCAGAGUGCCUCGUGCAUGCCGGCCCUUCAGUUGAGCACGUUGAAAAUAUCGGAUAACAGGACAUCUGCUGAGUGGAGUAAACAUUGCCCUGCAGCUUUAAGGUACUCCAAAAUUGCCACAAAAUAUUUGAGGAUGCGAGCAAAGAUUUGGACUUUGUAGGCAGCAGCACCCCCUGCGACCCUGCUAUAAAAAUGGAUGGAUGAACUAAAUCGCAAACAACAUCUUGGAGAUGCCAUCUACUCUGCAUGGCCAAGUAUGAUGAAUUUGAGGACCAGAAAUAGACAAUUAGCAUUACAUUU
Entelurus aequoreus (snake pipefish) is the source of this 589-nucleotide long non-coding RNA. RefSeq lists it as uncharacterized. The record is from RefSeq and is a predicted model, not a curated record. Lineage: Eukaryota; Metazoa; Chordata; Actinopteri; Syngnathiformes; Syngnathidae. The transcript has 3 exons.